RNAcentral lists this unclassified non-coding RNA (476 nucleotides) under Hevea brasiliensis (rubber tree). The record is from RNAcentral. Lineage: Eukaryota; Viridiplantae; Streptophyta; Magnoliopsida; Malpighiales; Euphorbiaceae.
GGAAUUCCCCAGAUGAAAACUUCCUCCGGUGGUGGCGCAGGAGCAGGAGUUUCCUCUGUUUUGGUUUCCUCUGUUGGAGCUGCGUCGACUUCUUUAGCAGGGGCUGGCUCCUCUGCAGCAGGAGGAGUCGAAGAAACCGCUACUACGGUCUCCUCAAUUGCCUCUACUGUCUUGGCUCCAUCCUCAUCUACAGUAGUCACCUUCGCCACCACUACUUCAGCGACCACAACAGCUUCUGCCGGUGGUUCAUCCUUCUUUUCUUCCUUCACUUCCACCUUCUUCUCUUCUUUCACUUCACCCUUCUCUUCCUCUUUCACUUCCACUGGCGGUGGGGGUGGUGGAGUUACAGUCUCAGCCUCGGUGGUUUUAGGUUCUUCAGUUUUGGGCUCUUCACUAGUAGAAGGAGCAUCUGGAGUUUUCUGUUUCUCCUUGACUUCAACCUUUUCCUCCUCCUUCACUUCAACUUUCUCCUCCAC